This 462-nucleotide ribosomal RNA is filed under the name uncultured bacterium. Its description in RNAcentral is "partial 16S ribosomal RNA". It matches the Rfam family "Bacterial small subunit ribosomal RNA", at positions 28 to 507 of the family's 1533-position model. The record is from RNAcentral.
GACGAACGCUGGCGGCGUGCUUAACACAUGCAAGUCGAGCGGAAAGGCCCUUCGGGGUACUCGAGCGGCGAACGGGUGAGUAACACGUGAGUAACCUGCCCCAGACUUUGGGAUAACCCUCGGAAACGGGGGCUAAUACCGGAUACGACACAGCUUCGCAUGGGGUCUGUGUGGAAAGUUUUUCGGUUUGGGAUGGGCUCGCGGCCUAUCAGCUUGUUGGUGGGGUGAUGGCCUACCAAGGCGACGACGGGUAGCCGGCCUGAGAGGGCGACCGGCCACACUGGGACUGAGACACGGCCCAGACUCCUACGGGAGGCAGCAGUGGGGAAUAUUGCACAAUGGGCGGAAGCCUGAUGCAGCGACGCCGCGUGAAGGAUGACGGCCUUCGGGUUGUAAACCUCUUUCAGCAGGGACGAAGCGUAAGUGACGGUACCUGCAGAAGAAGCGCCGGCCAACUACGUG